UGGGGAAUAUUGCACAAUGGAGGGAACUCUGAUGCAGCGACGCAGCGUGAACGAAGAAGGCUUUCGAGUCGUAAAGUUCUUUUAUAUGGGAAGAUAAUGACGGUACCAUAAGAAAAAGCCCCGGCUAACUACGUGCCAGCAGCCGCGGUAAUACGUAGGGGGCUAGCGUUGUCCGGAAUCACUGGGCGUAAAGGGUUCGCAGGCGGAAAUGCCAGUCAGGUGUAAAAGGCAGUAGCUUAACUACUGUAAGCAUUUGAAACUGCAUAUCUUGAGAAGAGUAGAGGUAAGUGGAAUUUUUAGUGUAGCGGUGAAAUGCGUAGAUAUUAAAAAGAAUACCGGUGGCGAAAGCGACUUACUGGGCUCAUUCUGACGCUGAGGAACGAAAGCGUGGGUAGCAAACAGG
Molecule: ribosomal RNA, 403 nt
Filed under: Fusobacteriota bacterium
Lineage: Bacteria; Fusobacteriati; Fusobacteriota
Description: Fusobacteria bacterium partial 16S ribosomal RNA
Rfam family: Bacterial small subunit ribosomal RNA
Source: RNAcentral